GAAUUUUCACACUGUACAACGACCUGCAUUCUUGGAAUGAUACUAAUGGAGUUUGUAGGCGGCAUGGACAACAACUGCUCAGACUGAAGGCGGCCAGACAGCAGGAGGUGUUCAAUUUGUUUAUGACAACAUGGGUAGAAGACGAGGAUUUGAAUUCCGACGUCUGGGUUGGUCUCUAUGACUUGGAGCCGGACAACGGUGACGACUUUGUGCACACAUGGACAGACGGUACAGCACUCGCAACAUCUUAAACUGGGCACCCCGUGAACCGAACUCUAAGGGAAGAGAGAAUUGUGUCCGGUAUACACUAAGUCUCAACUACAGAACCAUGACUUGUGACAGGCUAUAUGCAACAGUAUGUGAAACGGAAACUGGAUGCUGGUUUACUGAGCAAAGGGGUCACGUGGUUUCCGGUUUAGAAUUACACUCAACGACAAAACAAGACGUGGAGACGUGCAAGAGGACUUGCCUGGAAAUGGACAGAGAAGGUCAACUUUGUGUUGCCGUUGGACACGAUGGCUCUUCCUGUCAAACGUAUACAGGAAGUUAUGUUUACACCGCCAUUUCUACACCUGAGCUGCAGACGAAUCCCCAGUCAGCUGUCUAUCUAAAACGA
Molecule: long non-coding RNA, 616 nt
Organism: Haliotis rubra (blacklip abalone)
Lineage: Eukaryota; Metazoa; Mollusca; Gastropoda; Lepetellida; Haliotidae
Exons: 3
Source: RefSeq, a predicted model, not a curated record